UUUCAUUAUCUACUUCCCAUCUCAGGAUACUCUCUUUCUUGAAUUUUCUGAGGUAAUAAUGCUCACCUGUACCUCAACCUGAUGCUUGAAGAAUUCUCCAAGAAUUGGACCACUGCUGCUCAAAGGGACAGGAUUGAAUUUGUUCCUCGAAAUAUUAAGAGGCAUAAUAUAUGUGAAAAUGCCCAAGGAAGGAUAUGGCCCAGCAAGAGUGUGUGGAUACAUGCAAAGAAUGUUUAUUAAACACCUGCUCUGUACCUCACAUGUGCCACCGGAUCCUGGGGAUAAAGUCCCUGCCUUCACAUUGUUUGCUGUUUAGUGGGAGACACAGACAAUUAUGCCCACAACUGGGAUGCAAUGUGAUGAGCUGUGAUGAAGGGAGGAAACCAGAGGCUAUGGUAACGCACAUAGUAUAUACAAUUCACUCCAAGAAAAGGAGAAGCACUCCCAAAGAAACGGCACCCAGGCUGAGUCUUAACGAAUGAACUGAAAUUGAUCAGCCUUGGAAGAGGAGAAGAAUCUCCCAGGCUAAAGGAGAACCAUGUGGGAGAAGCCACAGAAGCAUGGAGCACGAUUGUGCUUUGGAGCAACUGCCAGAACUUCUAAGGGGUAGAGGGCUAGGAAGAGAUAAGCAAGGGUCAGAUUUUAAAGGGCUUUCAUGCUUUUUCCCAGAUUUUACCCUACAGGCAAUGGGGAGUGCUUCAAGAGUUUUAAACAGGAAACAAGACCAGAUCUGCGUUUUUCUGUGUGAAGGAUAAUUUGCAGAGGACUGCAGUAGAAGCAGAAAGCAGUUUGUAAGGUUACUGCAACAACCCCAUGAAAAAUGCUAAGGACCUGAACUAAGGGAUGUGGAUGAAAAGCCUGGAGAAGACAUAGCUGAAAAAAUAACCAAGAAGAGAAAAUACAUAAAGUUCACAUCAAUUGUUUGGGGGCUGUAACUGUACAUCUUUCAGUGAUUCAGUAUUAGACUCUUCAACAUUUCAACAGACUCGCUAGAUACAGGGACAGUAAUGGCAGGAAAUUUAAGUACAUCCAAAGUGAUCUUUGAGUAGGAAGGACUUUGAGGACAUCUUGUCCACAUCUCAGUGGCAGCAGCCUUUCCCUUGGAGGUGCAGCCUUGGUUGCAAAAUUAAUCCAGAGCUACCAAUUUUCUCUCUAAUUUUCUUUAGCAUGGUUCUUUAGAUACAAAGCCUGUUUCAGAUUAACUUUAAUUUUAUUUCUUAUCUUACAGACCUCUGUCCCUAUUUCUCUGCUGGAUCACUGCCAAACCCCAAGCUCCUAUCCUGGACAGUAAGUGUUUCCUUCUUUGUUGGCAGGCAGGCUGCAGGAGUUGGGGAGAGGCGUAUUUUCUGCUAUAUAUACACCAUGGCUGGACCUUGAAGGAUGGCUGCUUUGUCUUCUCGUUCUGCCUGUCAGCCUCUUUUAUUGUGCAGGAACCAAUGACCAAGUGUUCACAGCUCUAACCGAGUGACAGGAAAUAUAGAUUGAACCACCAGAGAUUACAUUUUUAUUCUUUUAUAUGCCUUUUGCUGAAAAAAAAAUCUAUUUUGUAACUGUAAAUGUAUUGAAUUGAGGAAGUAAAGACACUGUGAACACAAUGUGCUAAGCUUUUCUUAUAAGAUUCUAUCUGUUUCCUGUCGGAGGUGAGACACGAAAUGUAAUGCAGGCAGUUUGGUGCCUACAUUAACACAGGAAUUGCCUUUCAGCUCUGUAUUUCAAUUUCAAGGUGGUAGAGGAGCGAGGGAGGCAAGCACAGCAUUCUGCAGGGGACCACUGCCAUAUGGGAUUUUGUGCACUCCACGAAGAAUGUCAAGCUCUUACUGGGAGGUGAUUGUAAUACGUGAACCAGUUUAUCGUGGACAAAUCUUUCCAAGCCCAAGUGACAAAGUGGUGAGGACCUGGACUUGAUCAUUUUGAUAUUUGACUAUUUAUUGCAAAUAUGUAUGUCAGACCGGUGGAAGGAAACAGGUAGGACAGCUUAGACACACUGUAAGGGUAUACACAAGGAAUACAGUUUAGUGAAGUUUGAAUGGACUCCUUCUUGGAGAAAGAGUGACAUAUGUGAUGAGACUGAUGCCCAACCUCCCGGGAAAGAUUUACAAACAAAACUGAGAGAAAAGGACCGAUAGUCUCCUAGGCGAUCCCUGGAGAUCUUGCUCGGAGCUGGGGGGCUUCAGUGCUGGGCUGAAACGUGGGACACUGGCAGAUGGUGAUAUUUGGAGAAGACUGCUUUUGGAGUGUGGUGGCCUUUUGUCUUGUUAUGCAAAUGCCCACAGACCUAAGUGGACUUUAAAUUCCCAAAGGAGGACUGGGGGAGCAGUAAGAAAAUACAUAGACCUCGGCAUUGAUACUAUAUGGACGUGUGUCAUGCAGAACAGGUCCCGUGAAAUGUGUUGGUUCUAAUCAAGAGUUUCUUUGGGCUUUUCCAGAUGUCUUGUUGAAAAAGAGACAGAUUCAAUAAAAAUACUAUCACUCACAAAAUUGAGUAGGUAUUAUAGUGAGAAGCAGAAAUCAGAGGUAUCCAUUGUCUAUUAGUGUUGUGCCAGUUCCCAAGACCGAUAUUUGCAGUCAUUGGUUUAUCUAACUUUUUUUGAAUACUUAUUAUGUGCCAGACUCUGUGCUAGCAUGGUGAUUAAAGAUGGGCAACAGGCAGUUCUGACCUUUAAAGAACUUAUAUUUCAAGAUGUAUGUGAGUAUGGCUAUUCAAUCUAGGGGAAUCUGAGAAAAUUUUCACUUCAAAGGCAAAAUCUUUUAAAAAAAAUCAUGAAAGCAAGUAUGUACCUACCACAUAUAGCAUUGGCAGUAUGCAGGAAAGGGGACAACAUUCAAUCUUCUGUGUCUUCGUCCCAAGCCUAAUUUUGGAUUUUGAAUCUAAUCUAAUCUACUGAAAAGGACUUUAGCCACAAAAGGGAUGGGGGAAAUAAAGAGAAAAACAAAUAUAUUGUACUUCAAAAAGGCAAAACCUAAAUCAAAGCACAGAGCUGAGAUCUGAGGAGAAAAUGGAGACCAUACAACCUCUAUGUGACUUCCCCUCCCUCACACACAGUGUUAAGCCAGAUGAUGUAAGAAAUAUGUUAUUACUGACAGUAAAGCUGUAGACUUGUCAUCAGAUAAAAUACUCUCCAUCAAAGAAAAAUCACUUUCAUAGAAGAAAAUCCUGGAAUAUACAGAAAUUAAUCACCACAAAAUAACAACCGAGUGAGAAAAGGAAGGAAACGGGCCCAUAAGUCAAUUUUCUAAAUAAUAAUAAUGAAAUGCUUAAAUGAAGAGAAUAAGACAAAUGUAUAGUAGACUCUGCAACACUGAAAGGAGAAUAAGACUGCCAGGCCCUUCUUUCAGCUGUGCCAACAAAGUAGUAGACUGGAGGAGCCUGAGUGGAGGGCUGUCAAUCAUUCCCUGUGGUUCACCAAGCUUUGUUGAGAACCUACUGUGUGCCUGGUAGUGGGCCUCACGAAGUGGGCAGUACAAAGCUGAGUAUCCUUAGGACAUAAUGAAAACACACCUCAGUUUAAUGGAAAAGCAAACAGUGCUCAGCUACAAUGGUGACGUUCAGCCUGUGGUAAGCGCUAGAAUCAAGGGUAGGAACCCAAGAAAUCUAACAGAUUUGGAAAGAAAAGAAGGAGCAGCCUUUAUUGAUGAUGAGUAAAUAUUUCACAGAAGAGGAUGAGACACAGUGAUGAAGUCCAGAAAGAGAUGGCAGGAACCAGAGCUCCUUGGCGAAAUGGCUGAUUCAUGGACUCGGGCGGGAAAUAUACAAGACAAGCCUAAAGCAUCUUGGAGCGCCAAAAGAAACCCGUAAUCCCAGUCUAAUCAUGAGAAAAACAUCAGACAAUUCCUAAUAGAGCGACAUUCAACAAAACACCUGACCAGUACCCCUCAAAACUGUCAAGGUCAUCAGAAACAAGAAACAUUUUGAGAAACUGUCACAGUCAAAAGGAGCUCAAGGGGAAAUGAUGACUAAACAUGACGUGACAUGCUAGACAGCAUACUGGAACGGAAAAAGGGCACAAGAUAAACACAAAGGAAAUCUGAACGUAAGUCUAGACUUCAGUGAAUUAUAGCACAUCAAUAUUUGCUCAUUAAUUGUAACAAAUGACAAUAAAAAGAUAUUAAUAACAGGGGAAACUGAGUGUGGGGAAUAUGGAAACUCUCUGUAUCAUCUUCAGUCUUUUUUGGUAAAUCUAGAACUGUUCUAAAAAAAUAAAAUUUAUUUUAAAAAAACAGAUAAGACCAUGUAAUUUGUUCAUUGUUGGAGUAAGCAAGAAUUGGUUGAGUACCUACUCUACA
Equus caballus (horse) is the source of this 4284-nucleotide non-coding RNA. The record is from RefSeq and is a predicted model, not a curated record. NCBI's taxonomy places the organism in Eukaryota, Metazoa, Chordata, Mammalia, Perissodactyla, Equidae.